This 2732-nucleotide ribosomal RNA is filed under the name human oral metagenome. Its description in RNAcentral is "bacterial LSU rRNA". It matches the Rfam family "Bacterial large subunit ribosomal RNA". The record is from RNAcentral.
GGCCGGGCACGCCCGAGAGGGCGGGCGAACGCGGUGAACUGAAACAUCUCAGUAGCCGCGGGAAGAGAAAGCAAACGCGAUUCCCCGAGUAGCGGCGAGCGAAAGGGGAGCAGCCCAAACCGCGCGGGUUUCGGCCCGCGCGGGGUUGUAGGCGCCGCGCAGGCGCCGGGGCCCGCGGGCCGGAGCGGCUGGAACGCCGCCCCGCAGCGGGUGAGAGGCCCAUAGGCGAAGCGGGGCCCCGGCGCGGCGGACUGCCUGAGUAGGGCGGGGCACGAGGACCCCCGUCCGAACCGGCCGGGACCACCCGGCAAGGCUAAAUACUCCCAGGAGACCGAUAGCGCACCAGUACCGUGAGGGAAAGGUGAAAAGCACCCCGAGCAGGGGAGUGAAAGAGUACCUGAAACCGUGCGCCCGCGAGCGGUCGGAGCCCCGGGAGGGGUGACGGCGUGCCUUUUGCAUAAUGAGCCUACGAGUUGCGGCGGCCAGCGAGGUUAACCCGCGCAGCGGGGGAGCCGUAGCGAGCGCGAGUCCGAAUAGGGCGCGAGUUGGCCGCCGCAGACGCGAAACUUUGCGAUCUACCCAUGGCCAGGUUGAAGGCCCGGUGCAACGGGCUGGAGGACCGAACCGGUUGGUGUUGAAAAACCCUCGGAUGAGCUGUGGGUAGGGGUGAAAGGCCAAUCAAGCUGAGAGAUAGCUCGUACUCCCCGAAACGCCUUUAGGGGCAGCCUCGGAGGAGCCGGCCGGAGGUAGAGCGACUGGCUGGCCGCGGGGGCGUCACAGCCUGCCAAGGCCUGUCAAACUCCGAAUGCCGGGCCGGCGCUCUCCGGGAGAGAGCCGCGGGGUGCUAACGUCCCGCGACGAGAGGGGAACAACCCAGACCAGCGGCUAAGGCCCCGAAGCGCGCGCUAAGUUGACCAAACGCGGUGCGGCCGCACAGACAGCUAGGAUGUUGGCUUGGAAGCAGCCAUUCAUUCAAAGAGUGCGUAACAGCUCACUAGUCGAGCGGCCGUGCAUGGAUAAUGAGCGGGCAUCAAGCGCGCCGCCGAGGCCCUGGGCCUUCGGCCGCCACGGCGGCCGGGGGCGGUAGGGGAGCAUUCCCCGGGCGUUGAAGGCCCGCCGCGAGGCGGGCUGGAGCGCGGGGAAAGGCAAAUGUAGGCAUGAGUAACGAUAACGCCGGCGAGAAACCGGCGCACCGAUAGGCCAAGGGUUCCCGGUCAACGCUAAUCGGACCGGGGUCAGCCGGGCCCUAAGGCUAAGGCGAAGGCCGACGCCGAUGGCGAGCGGGCGAACAUUCCCGCGCUGGCUGCAGCUGCAACACGGGGGGACGGAGGUGUGACAGCCGCGCCGCGGGACGGAUUCCGCGGCAGAAGGGGGUAGGGCCCCGCGAGGGGCCCGAUCCGGAAGGUAGCGCGAGCCCUCGGGCGAGCGUAAGCGGCGUAAGCGGGCUCCCGAGAAAACCCCCUGCGCAUCAAGGCUGCAGGCACCCGUACCGUAAACCGACACAGGUGGCCAAGGAGAGGAUCCUGAGGUGCUCGAGCGAUUCACGGCCAAGGAACUAGGCAAAUUGGCCCUGUAACUUCGGGAGAAAGGGCCCCCCGCGGCGACGCGGGGGCGCAGAGAAGUGGCCCAAGCGACUGUUUAGCAAAAACCCAUGGCUCUGCCAAGCCGAAAGGCGACGUAUAGGGCCUGACACCUGCCCGGUGCCGGAAGGUUAAGAGGGGGCGUUAGCCGCGAGGCGAGGCGCUGAAUUGAAGCCCCGGUAAACGGCGGCCGUAACUAUAACGGUCCUAAGGUAGCGAAAUUCCUUGUCGGGCAAGUUCCGACCCGCACGAAUGGUGUAACGAUUUGGGCGCUGUCUCGGCCGUGAGCUCGGUGAAAUUGAAGUCGCGGUGAAGAUGCCGCGUACCCGCAACGGGACGGAAAGACCCCGUGAACCUUUACUGCAGCUUCACGCUGCGCUAGGGCAGACGCUGUGUAGGAUAGGCCGGAGGCUACGAGCCGGCGCCGCCAGGCGCCGGGGAGCCGCCGUUGAAAUACGGCCCUCCGUCUGCCCGGGCGCUAACCCGCGAGGGGACACCGUGUGGUGGGUAGUUUGACUGGGGCGGUCGCCUCCCAAAGCGUAACGGAGGCUUCCCAAGGUGCCCUCAGCGCGGAUGGUAAUCGCGCGGCGAGUGCAAUGGCACAAGGGCGCUUGACUGCGAGACCGACGGGUCGAGCAGGUGCGAAAGCAGGGCAUAGUGAUCCGGUGGCACCGCGUGGAAGGGCCAUCGCGCAAAGGAUAAAAGGUACUCCGGGGAUAACAGGCUGAUCGCCCCCAAGAGCUCAUAUCGACGGGGCGGUUUGGCACCUCGAUGUCGGCCCGUCACAUCCUGGGGCUGGAGAAGGUCCCAAGGGUUCGGCUGUUCGCCGAUUAAAGUGGCACGCGAGCUGGGUUCAGAACGUCGUGAGACAGUUCGGUCCCUAUCUGUUGUGGGCGCAGAGGAUUGCGGGGAGCUGGCGCUAGUACGAGAGGACCGCGCUGGACGGACCGCUGGUGUACCAGCUGGGGUGCCAACCCCACCGCUGGGUAGCUACGUCCGGCUGGGAUAAGCGCUGAAAGCAUCUAAGCGCGAAGCCCCCCCCAAGAUGAAUCCUCGCCCGAGGGCCGUGGGAGACGACCACGUUGAUAGGCCGGAGGUGCAGGCGCGGCGACGCGCGAGCCGACCGGUACUAAUGGCCCGACGGCUUCCCGC